CCAGCAGCCCCCGUAAUACGGAGGGUGCGAGCGUUAAUCGGAUUUACUGGGCGUAAAGCGUGCGUAGGCGGCUUAUUAAGUCGGAUGUGAAAUCCCCGAGCUUUUUUUGGGAAUUGCAUUCGAUACUGGUGAGCUAGAGUAUGGGUGAGGAUGGUAGAAUUCCAGGUGUAGCGGUGAAAUGCGUAGAGAUCUGGAGGAAUACCGAUGGCGAAGGCAGCCAUCUGGCCUAAUACUGACGCUGAGGUACGAAAGCAUGGGGAGCAAACAGGAUUAAUUACCCUGGUA
This 285-nucleotide ribosomal RNA is filed under the name Acinetobacter baumannii. RNAcentral's name for it is "partial 16S ribosomal RNA". It matches the Rfam family "Bacterial small subunit ribosomal RNA", at positions 508 to 792 of the family's 1533-position model. The record is from RNAcentral. Lineage: Bacteria; Pseudomonadati; Pseudomonadota; Gammaproteobacteria; Moraxellales; Moraxellaceae.